GAUGAACGCUGGCGGCGUGCCUAAUACAUGCAAGUCGAGCGAACGGACGAGAAGCUUGCUUCUCUGAUGUUAGCGGCGGACGGGUGAGUAACACGUGGAUAACCUACCUAUAAGACUGGGAUAACUUCGGGAAACCGGAGCUAAUACCGGAUAAUAUUUUGAACCGCAUGGUUCAAAAGUGAAAGACGGUCUUGCUGUCACUAAUAGAUGGAUCCGCGCUGCAUUAGCUAGUUGGUAAGGUAACGGCUUACCAAGGCAACGAUGCAUAGCCGACCUGAGAGGGUGAUCGGCCAGCCUGGAACUGAGACACGGUCCAGACUCCUACGGGAGGCAGCAGUAGGGAAUCUUCCGCAAUGGGCGAAAGCCUGACGGAGCAACGCCGCGUGAGUGAUGAAGGUCUUCGGAUCGGAAAACUCUGUUAUUAGGGAAGAACAUAUGUGUAAGUAACUGUGCACAUCUUGACGGUACCUAAUCAGAAAGCCACGGCUAACUACGUG
This 497-nucleotide ribosomal RNA is filed under the name uncultured bacterium. RNAcentral's name for it is "partial 16S ribosomal RNA". It matches the Rfam family "Bacterial small subunit ribosomal RNA", at positions 28 to 507 of the family's 1533-position model. The record is from RNAcentral.